CUUCCUGUUUGUCCAUCGUCCUCAGCAGAGUCCAGAACCCAAGGUCCCAGAAAAUCACGGUGCAGCAGCCCCAGAGGAUGCUGGGAUACAGUGUAACAUCAAACAUCAAGAGUUUCCUGAAUAUCUCGACAGAGUUCCUCCAGUUAAAGCAGAUCUGAGUUUACCAGGUCUGAGGGAGACUGCCAACAAAGAGGCAAGACCUGUUCAGAACCAGAACCAUGACCAGUGCUGAGGUUUUAUUUGUACCUUUCUAGAUGUAUGCUCUUCUACCACCAGGUGCAGCGGCGGUUGGAUCAGGUUCGAGCGGUGUUGAAGAGGCAGCGCCAGGUUGAAGCUCAGCCUCAGAUGAGUGGGACAUCUGUUGCCAUGACCGACCUGCAGGUCUGUGGUUUCUGGUGGUCCGGUUCAGACGGCGAGGCUCUUCCUGUCCCAUCUGGGCCUGCUGACCCCCGACACCCUGAAGGACUCGGGUGGUGUCCCGGCUCAGCUCUUGUCUCUGGAUUCUUCUCUUCCUGGUUUCUCCGAAGAUCUGAGACAUUUAGACCAACUCGCGUCCAGAAACUGUGACUCCGCCUCCGUCUUCUACCUGAGAGCAGGACAGAGGACAGCAGCCGAGGUUCUUAGUAACGCAGACUCGUCCUCCAGUGUCUCAUCUCACUUCCUGGACUUCCUGUCAUCUCUCGGUUGUCCGGUAGCGGUGAGCAGGACCUCACCUGUCAGUGCAGAUUUUCCAGGUGAGCCCUCUGCUCUCUGAUUGGCUGAUAUUACACAUGCUCUC
This 778-nucleotide long non-coding RNA is filed under the name Sphaeramia orbicularis (orbiculate cardinalfish). Its description in RNAcentral is "lncRNA (ENSSORG00005010779.1)". Lineage: Eukaryota; Metazoa; Chordata; Actinopteri; Kurtiformes; Apogonidae. The record is from RNAcentral.